AACGCUAGCUACAGGCUUAACACAUGCAAGUCGAGGGGCAGCAUCAUCAAAGCUUGCUUUGAUGGAUGGCGACCGGCGCACGGGUGAGUAACACGUAUCCAACCUGCCGACAACACUGGGAUAGCCUUUCGAAAGAAAGAUUAAUACCGGAUGGCAUAGUUUUCCCGCAUGGGAUAAUUAUUAAAGAAUUUCGGUUGUCGAUGGGGAUGCGUUCCAUUAGGCAGUUGGCGGGGUAACGGCCCACCAAACCAACGAUGGAUAGGGGUUCUGAGAGGAAGGUCCCCCACAUUGGAACUGAGACACGGUCCAAACUCCUACGGGAGGCAGCAGUGAGGAAUAUUGGUCAAUGGACGAGAGUCUGAACCAGCCAAGUAGCGUGAAGGAUGACUGCCCUAUGGGUUGUAAACUUCUUUUAUACGGGAAUAAAGUUAGCCACGUGUGGCUUUUUGUAUGUACCGUAUGAAUAAGGAUCGGCUAACUCCGUGCCAGCAGCCGCGGUAAUACGGAGGAUCCGAGCGUUAUCCGGAUUUAUUGGGUUUAAAGGGAGCGUAGGCGGGUUGUUAAGUCAGUUGUGGAAGUUUGCGGCUCAACCGUAAAAUUGCAGUUGAUACUGGCGACCUUGAGUGCAACAGAGGUAGGCGGAAUUCGUGGUGUAGCGGUGAAAUGCUUAGAUAUCACGAAGAACUGCCGAUUG
RNAcentral lists this ribosomal RNA (694 nucleotides) under uncultured Bacteroides sp. RNAcentral describes it as "bacterial SSU rRNA". It matches the Rfam family "Bacterial small subunit ribosomal RNA", at positions 32 to 715 of the family's 1533-position model. The record is from RNAcentral. Lineage: Bacteria; Pseudomonadati; Bacteroidota; Bacteroidia; Bacteroidales; Bacteroidaceae.